CUACUGCUGAAGAGUCUCAAACUAGGACGAAACAGCUGUCCAGUAC
Molecule: non-coding RNA, 46 nt
Organism: Trichobilharzia regenti
Lineage: Eukaryota; Metazoa; Platyhelminthes; Trematoda; Strigeidida; Schistosomatidae
Source: Rfam